CUGCCAGGCGCACCUCCCUGGGGUGGGGGGCGGGAGAGGGAGGAGACAGGGUGGACCAGGCCGCGCUGGGCGCGUGGGGGCAGGGGGGAGUCAGGCGUUCGUCACCGGGGGUCACUGACCCCUCCGAGGGGCGGCUGCUCAGAAAGCCUGGACUCUUUCCCGGCCGUGAGUGGAUCAAGUUUUCUUGUCCCAAGGGAGCUGAGAACCCCCUUCAGCAAAUCUCUGUGGAACACAUCCCACGGUCAAGGACUGCUCUAUAUCCAGCAAGACAAGGCCCUUCUCACCCUGCCCUCCAGAGGUUAAGUGGGAGCAACCAGACAAUAACGGGUCCGAACACACCCAUUUCAGAGAUGGAGAAACUGAGGUCCCAAAUCCAAGGACAGCUCUUUCCUUGUCAUGGAGCUA
RNAcentral lists this long non-coding RNA (405 nucleotides) under Pan troglodytes (chimpanzee). RNAcentral describes it as "long non-coding RNA NONPTRT007359". The record is from RNAcentral. Lineage: Eukaryota; Metazoa; Chordata; Mammalia; Primates; Hominidae.